UCUCUCCCUCGCACGCUCUCACACUCUCAUGAACCUGAAUCCCUCAAUCCACCCUCAAUCCCUUUCACCCUCUCCAGUUCACACACACUCCCAUCCUCCUGCGAUUCCGGCAAAGCAAGUUUGGAUAGAAGCUUGAGGACUGAACCCCAACUCCAAAAUCAAGACCAGAGAAGCUUCGACUUUCAGGGUUGAUUUUAAAUAGGACCUACAAAAGAGACAUUUCAAAUCAUGAGAUCACAAUUUGGAUGGUCCUCACAUGUUGUCCUCAGAGCCUUCAAACUUAGGGGCAGGGCAUGUUGCUGGUGUACAGACGAUUAUGAGUGCUAGGGUUCCUAUAAUCAAGCUUGUAGACUGUGGAACCGGAAUUGAGUGUGAUUUAUCAAUUGAGAACAGGGAUGGCAUUGUAAAAUCCCAGAUUGUCUACAUAAUAUCUAGAAUUGACGAAAGGUUUCAGAAACUGAGUUUUAUGGAAGAGAACAUUUGACGAAGCUAACUUCACCCGGUACCUUUAACAGCACCAGGUUAUGAAUUUUGACGUCUAUGAUCUGAAUUUGUUUAACCUUUUGAUUUGGGUAUGGGUUUUUAGUGUACUAUUGUGUUCAAACUAGUUGGAAUUGAAGUGAUUUGCAACAAACCAAGUUUCAUAGAAUUGUUGUUCUUUUGGAACUAUUUGUGGCUCUCUGUUUGAUUAUUCAUGUUCCUGCAGCUGAAAUUCCGUAUCUAACAUUUCGACAUGAACCUCCUGAAGGGCAAGAUCUCAUACUCAAUUUAGUGGCCAUUUGACCAGCCUCUCAGCUACCUGCGAAUCUAUCUCGCCGAUCUAUGGGAUACUGGUAUUGGGAUGACG
Long non-coding RNA from Rosa rugosa (rugosa rose), 847 nucleotides. RefSeq lists it as uncharacterized. The transcript is spliced from 6 exons. Lineage: Eukaryota; Viridiplantae; Streptophyta; Magnoliopsida; Rosales; Rosaceae. The record is from RefSeq and is a predicted model, not a curated record.